CUUCCAGACUCCUACGGGAGGCAGCAGUGGGGAAUAUUGCACAAUGGGGGAAACCCUGAUGCAGCGACGCCGCGUGAGCGAUGAAGUAUUUCGGUAUGUAAAGCUCUAUCAGCAGGGAAGAAGAUGACGGUACCUGACUAAGAAGCCCCGGCUAACUACGUGCCAGCAGCCGCGGGAAUACGUAGGGGGCAAGCGUUAUCCGGAUUUACUGGGUGUAAAGGGAGCGUAGACGGCGAUGCAAGCCAGAUGUGAAAGCCCGGGGCUCAACCCCGGGACUGCAUUUGGAACUGUGUGGCUGGAGUGUCGGAGAGGCAGGCGGAAUUCCUAGUGUAGCGGUGAAAUGCGUAGAUAUUAGGAGGAACACCAGUGGCGAAGGCGGCCUGCUGGACGAUGACUGACGUUGAGGCUCGAAAGCGUGGGGAGCAAACAGGAUUAGAUACCCGAGUA
Molecule: ribosomal RNA, 447 nt
Filed under: uncultured bacterium
Lineage: Bacteria
Description: bacterial SSU rRNA
Rfam family: Bacterial small subunit ribosomal RNA
Source: RNAcentral